RNAcentral lists this transfer RNA (86 nucleotides) under Clostridium sp. Its description in RNAcentral is "tRNA-Leu". It matches the Rfam family "tRNA". From Rfam's summary of the family: Transfer RNA (tRNA) molecules are approximately 80 nucleotides in length. Lineage: Bacteria; Bacillati; Bacillota; Clostridia; Eubacteriales; Clostridiaceae. RNAcentral also lists the same sequence under 1 other name. The record is from RNAcentral.
GCAGAUGUGGUGGAAUGGCAGACACGCUAUCUUGAGGGGGUAGUGAGAAUACUCUCGUGCGGGUUCAAGUCCCGCCAUCUGCACCA